CCUANGGGUGGCAGCAGUGGGGAAUUUUGCGCAAUGGGCGAAAGCCUGACGCAGCAACGCCGCGUGGAGGAUGAAGGUCUUCGGAUUGUAAACUCCUGUCAGUGGGGAAAAAGGGGAACGGGCUCAUACCUCGUUUCAUUGAUUGUACCCGCAGAGGAAACCCCGGCUAACUCUGUGCCAGCAGCCGCGGUAAUACAGAGGGGGUAAGCGUUAUUCGGAAUUAUUGGGCGUAAAGGGCGCGUAGGCGGUCGUUCAAGUGGUAGGUGAAAUCCCUCGGCUUAACCGAGGAGCUGCCCGCCAAACUGAACGACUUGAGUCCGGGAGAGGUGAGUGGAAUUCCCAGUGUAGCGGUGAAAUGCGUAGAUAUUGGGAGGAACACCAGUGGAGAAGGCGGCUCACUGGACCGGCACUGACGCUGAGGCGCGAAAGCGUGGGGAGCAAACAGGAUUAGAUACCCUANUANUC
RNAcentral lists this ribosomal RNA (465 nucleotides) under uncultured bacterium. RNAcentral describes it as "bacterial SSU rRNA". It matches the Rfam family "Bacterial small subunit ribosomal RNA", at positions 338 to 795 of the family's 1533-position model. The record is from RNAcentral.